GCCUCAGGCUAUGGGACCCAGAACAUUCGACUGAGCCGGGAUGCCGUGAAGGACUUCGACUGCUGUUGUCUCUCCCUGCAGCCUUGCCACGAUCCUGUUGUCACGUGAGCUGGGAACAGGGAUGGCCCAGAUGGCUACCUGUAUGAGCGUGAGGCCAUCCUGGAGUACAUUCUGCACCAGAAGAAGGAGAUUGCCCGGCAAAUGAAGGUGAUGGGGAUGGGGAGAAGGAGGCACAGGGAGGCAGGAGCUUUUGAGUCUGAGCUCACAGGCAGAGCCACUCAGAGCCCUCCGAUCUCAGUUCCCUCUGCCUGGUACACCAUUCCCCUUCUGCUUCCGGCCAAAUCCUCCUCACCAAUUUCAGCCCAGGUGCUGCCUCCUCUGAGCUCCUGCCAGUCCCCUGGAUCUACCCCAGUCACCUCUUCUCUUAGCACUUGGCAUAGUUGUAACUCUACAUGUGGCUGUCUGACACACGCCCACUUUCCCUUCUGGACUUCGAGUUUUCCCCCCCUGUGGCUUAGGUCCUUAGUAAAGAUGUGCUAAAUGGGUUGGGGGUGGUGGCUCACACCUGUAAUCCCAGCACUUUGGGAGGCCGAGGCAGGCGGAUCACUUGAGGUCAACAGUUAGAGGCCAGCCUGGCCAACACGGUGAAACCCUGUCUCUACUAAAAAU
This 669-nucleotide small RNA is filed under the name Pongo abelii (Sumatran orangutan). RNAcentral describes it as "retained intron". The record is from RNAcentral. Lineage: Eukaryota; Metazoa; Chordata; Mammalia; Primates; Hominidae.